GACGAACGCUAGCGGCGUGCCUAAGCUAUGCAAGUCGAGCGGGGUUUCAGAGUCGAGUUUCCUUCGGGAGACAAAGCACUGAAACCUAGCGGCGAACGGGUGAGUAACACGUGAGCAACCUACCCCGUUGUCCGGGAUAACAGACCGAAAGGCCUGCUAAUACCGGAUACGAAGCUCCUUCGCAUGUUGGAGCUUGGAAAGGGGCAACCCGCAAUGGGAGGGGCUUACGGCCUAUCAGCUAGUUGGUGAGGUAACGGCCCACCAAGGCGACGACGGGUAGCCGACCUGAGAGGGUGACCGGCCACACUGGGACUGAGACACGGCCCAGACUCCUACGGGAGGCAGCAAGCGGGAAUCUUGCACAAUGGGCGCAAGCCUGAUGCAGCGACGCCGCGUGAGGGAUGAAGGCCUUCGGGUCGUAAACCUCUGUUGAUGGGGACGAAGAUCUGACGGUAC
Molecule: ribosomal RNA, 456 nt
Filed under: uncultured bacterium
Lineage: Bacteria
Description: bacterial SSU rRNA
Rfam family: Bacterial small subunit ribosomal RNA
Source: RNAcentral